This 253-nucleotide ribosomal RNA is filed under the name uncultured bacterium. RNAcentral describes it as "partial 16S ribosomal RNA". It matches the Rfam family "Bacterial small subunit ribosomal RNA", at positions 524 to 776 of the family's 1533-position model. The record is from RNAcentral.
UACGUAGGUGGCAAGCGUUAUCCGGGUUUAUUGGGUGUAAAGGGCGUGUAGGCGGGAGCGCAAGUCAGAUGUGAAAACUCAGGGCUCAACCCUGAGCCUGCAUUUGAAACGGUGUUUCUUGAGUGCUGGAGAGGCAAUCGGAAUUCCGUGUGUAGCGGUGAAAUGCGUAGAUAUACGGAGGAACACCAGUGGCGAAGGCGGAUUGCUGGACAGUAACUGACGCUGAGGCGCGAAAGCGUGGGGAGCAAACAGG